Molecule: ribosomal RNA, 740 nt
Filed under: uncultured bacterium
Lineage: Bacteria
Description: bacterial SSU rRNA
Rfam family: Bacterial small subunit ribosomal RNA
Source: RNAcentral
AGAGUUUGAUCAUGGCUCAGAACGAACGCUGGCGGCAGGCUUAACACAUGCAAGUCGAGCGCUCAGCAAUGAGAGCGGCGCACGGGUGAGUAACACGUGGGAACAUGCCCUUUGGUUCGGAAUAACUCAGGGAAACUUGUGCUAAUACCGGAUAAGCCCUUACGGGGAAAGAUUUAUCGCCAAAGGAGUGGCCCGCGUCCGAUUAGCUAGUUGGUGAGGUAAAGGCUCACCAAGGCGACGAUCGGUAGCUGGUCUGAGAGGACGACCAGCCACACUGGGACUGAGACACGGCCCAGACUCCUACGGGAGGCAGCAGUGGGGAAUCUUGGACAAUGGGGGAAACCCUGAUCCAGCCAUGCCGCGUGAGUGAUGAAGGCCCUAGGGUUGUAAAACUCUUUCGGCGGGGACGAUAAUGACGGUACCCGCAGAAGAAGCUCCGGCUAACUUCGUGCCAGCAGCCGCGGUAAUACGAAGGGGGCUAGCGUUGUUCGGAAUUACUGGGCGUAAAGCGCGCGCAGGCGGUUCUUCAAGUCAGAGGUGAAAGCCCAGAGCUCAACUCUGGAAUGGCCUUUGAGACUAGAGAACUUGGGUACGGGAGAGGUGAGUGGAAUUCCGAGUGUAGAGGUGAAAUUCGUAGAUAUUCGGAAGAACACCAGUGGCGAAGGCGGCUCACUGGCCCGUUACCGACGCUCAGGCGCGACAGCGUGGGGAGCAAACAGGAUUAGAUACCCUAGUAGUCC